AAGUCGUAACAAGGUUUCCGUAGGUGAACCUGCGGAAGGAUCAUUAAUGAUUUGGCGAACCGAGCGUUAGCGAGGUUUUGCGAUCAACUUGUAUUUAAAACCCAACUCUUUAUAAUAAUUUAUACAUAAUUUUUAAUGAUAAAAAUUAAAGAUCACUUUCAACAACGGAUCUCUUGGCUCUC
Molecule: unclassified non-coding RNA, 182 nt
Filed under: Dominikia disticha
Lineage: Eukaryota; Fungi; Glomeromycota; Glomeromycetes; Glomerales; Glomeraceae
Description: partial internal transcribed spacer region
Rfam family: Eukaryotic small subunit ribosomal RNA (bases 1-46)
Source: RNAcentral